This 476-nucleotide ribosomal RNA is filed under the name uncultured bacterium. Its description in RNAcentral is "bacterial SSU rRNA". It matches the Rfam family "Bacterial small subunit ribosomal RNA", at positions 30 to 502 of the family's 1533-position model. The record is from RNAcentral.
AUUGAACGCUGGCGGCAGGCCUAACACAUGCAAGUCGAGCGGUAACAGGUCCAGCUUGCUGGAUGCUGACGAGCGGCGGACGGGUGAGUAAUGCAUAGGAAUCUGCCCGAUAGUGGGGGAUAACCUGGGGAAACCCAGGCUAAUACCGCAUACGUCCUACGGGAGAAAGGGGGCUCCGGCUCCCGCUAUGGGAUGAGCCUAUGUCGGAUUAGCUAGUUGGUGAGGUAACGGCUCACCAAGGCCACGAUCCGUAGCUGGUCUGAGAGGAUGAUCAGCCACAUCGGGACUGAGACACGGCCCGAACUCCUACGGGAGGCAGCAGUGGGGAAUAUUGGACAAUGGGGGAAACCCUGAUCCAGCCAUGCCGCGUGUGUGAAGAAGGCCCUCGGGUUGUAAAGCACUUUCAGCGAGGAAGAACGCCUAACGGUUAAUACCCGCUAGGAAAGACAUCACUCGCAGAAGAAGCACCGCUAACU